This 492-nucleotide ribosomal RNA is filed under the name uncultured bacterium. RNAcentral describes it as "partial 16S ribosomal RNA". It matches the Rfam family "Bacterial small subunit ribosomal RNA", at positions 29 to 507 of the family's 1533-position model. The record is from RNAcentral.
AGUGAACGCUGGCGGUAGGCCUAACACAUGCAAGUCGAACGGCAGCACAGUAAGAGCUUGCUCUUACGGGUGGCGAGUGGCGGACGGGUGAGGAAUACAGCGGAAUCUACUUUUUCGUGGGGGAUAACGUAGGGAAACUUACGCUAAUACCGCAUACGACCUACGGGUGAAAGCAGGGGAUCUUCGGACCUUGCGCGAUUGAAUGAGCCGAUGUCGGAUUAGCUAGUUGGCGGGGUAAAGGCACACCAAGGCGACGAUCCGUAGCUGGUCUGAGAGGAUGAUCAGCCACACUGGAACUGAGACACGGUCCAGACUCCUACGGGAGGCAGCAGUGGGGAAUAUUGGACAAUGGGCGCAAGCCUGAUCCAGCCAUACCGCGUGGGUGAAGAAGGCCUUCGGGUUGUAAAGCCCUUUUGUUGGGAAAGAAAAGCAGCAGGUUAAUACCCCGCUGUUCUGACGGUACCCAAAGAAUAAGCACCGGCUAACUUCGUG